GGGGAUGCCGGGCUUUGACAGAGAAGCUUUCGUGCAAAUUGCAGGCCGAGCUGACUACCUCGUAAAACUUGUCAAAAAAUAACUGCUAAUAAAACAGCGGCGCCGGCUUUCGCUUUUGCGUAAGUUGGUGUUCCCCUUCUAUUUAUAGAUGGGGCAUCGGCCCCGACGUUUCAUAGGGAAUCGCCGGUGUUAUACCUGAAACUCGCCUAUUGUAUUACGACUUCAAAUACAAUUGGUUAAACCAAAGAAGUCACUCGUUCUUUUCGAACUAAGCUUGUAGAAAAUUUGCGUGUAACUCUCUGGACGGCGGUUCAACUCCGCCCAUCUCCACAA
Molecule: transfer-messenger RNA, 333 nt
Filed under: Candidatus Jorgensenbacteria bacterium
Lineage: Bacteria; Candidatus Joergenseniibacteriota
Rfam family: transfer-messenger RNA
About the family: Bacterial tmRNA, also known as 10Sa RNA or SsrA, is named for its dual tRNA and mRNA-like properties.
Source: RNAcentral